CAGCAGUCGCCACGGUAAUACGGAGGGUGCAAGCGUUAUCCGGAUUUAUUGGGUUUAAAGGGUCCGUAGGCGGAUCUGUAAGUCAGUGGUGAAAUCUCACAGCUUAACUGUGAAACUGCCAUUGAUACUGCAGGUCUUGAGUAAAUUUGAAGUGGCUGGAAUAAGUAGUGUAGCGGUGAAAUGCAUAGAUAUUACUUAGAACACCAAUUGCGAAGGCAGGUCACUAAGAUUUAACUGACGCUGAUGGACGAAAGCGUGGGGAGCGAACAGGAUUAGAUACCCGGGUAGUCCCUGUCUCUUAUAC
Molecule: ribosomal RNA, 304 nt
Filed under: uncultured bacterium
Lineage: Bacteria
Description: partial 16S ribosomal RNA
Rfam family: Bacterial small subunit ribosomal RNA
Source: RNAcentral